This 241-nucleotide ribosomal RNA is filed under the name uncultured Actinomycetales bacterium. RNAcentral describes it as "partial 16S ribosomal RNA". It matches the Rfam family "Bacterial small subunit ribosomal RNA", at positions 89 to 334 of the family's 1533-position model. Lineage: Bacteria; Bacillati; Actinomycetota; Actinomycetes; Actinomycetales. The record is from RNAcentral.
ACUCGAGUGGCGAACGGGUGAGUAACACGUGGGUGAUCUGCCCUGCACUUCGGGAUAAGCCUGGGAAACUGGGUCUAAUACCGGAUAGGAGCCAUUUUUAGUGUGAUGGUUGGAAAGUUUUUCGGUGUAGGAUGAGCCCGUGGCCUAUCAGCUUGUUGGUGGGGUAAUGGCCUACCAAGGCGGCGACGGGUAGCCGGACUGAGAGGUUGGUCGGCCACAUUGGGACUGAGAUACGGCCCAG